Molecule: ribosomal RNA, 38 nt
Filed under: Oreocharis benthamii
Lineage: Eukaryota; Viridiplantae; Streptophyta; Magnoliopsida; Lamiales; Gesneriaceae
Description: partial 28S ribosomal RNA
Source: RNAcentral
UGCGACCCAGGUCAGGCGGGAUCACCCGUGAGUUUAAG